AUGAACGCUGGCGGUAUGCUUAACACAUGCAAGUCGAACGGACUCUUCGGAGUUAGUGGCGGACGGGUGAGUAACGCGUGAGAAUCUGGCUUUGGGUUCGGGACAACCACUGGAAACGGUGGCUAAUACCGGAUGUGCCGAGAGGUAAAAGAGAAAUUGCCUGAAGAUGAGCUCGCGUCCGAUUAGCUAGUUGGUGAGGUAAAGGCUCACCAAGGCAGCGAUCAGUAGCUGGUCUGAGAGGAUGACCAGCCACACUGGGACUGAGACACGGCCCAGACUCCUACGGGAGGCAGCAGUGGGGAAUUUUCCGCAAUGGGCGAAAGCCUGACGGAGCAAUACCGCGUGAGGGAAGAAGGCUCUUGGGUUGUAAACCUCUUUUCUUAGGGAAGAACAAAAUGACGGUACCUAAGGAAUCAGCAUCGGCUAACUCCGUG
RNAcentral lists this ribosomal RNA (434 nucleotides) under uncultured bacterium. RNAcentral describes it as "partial 16S ribosomal RNA". It matches the Rfam family "Bacterial small subunit ribosomal RNA", at positions 29 to 507 of the family's 1533-position model. The record is from RNAcentral.